AGAUCCUAAUUGAAGUAGCGAUUAUCCAGGCUUGUAUCCUGGGGGCUGAUGAGGAGUAGGGUUUCUGGACAACUUAAACAGAUCCAGAGUUAGUCGAUCCUAAUCUCAAUAAUGGGAGAAAGGGAGUACAGUUGAUAUUCUGUAACUGACAACAGUUCGCGGCAACGCAUACUAUUUUUCUCCGCCAAUCUUAUACCGUUGGUAGGGAUCUCUUUCCUACAUGACAGUACUAAUACCCAGGGAAACUGGUCAUCAGGCGAACUGCGGCGUUCUGCUGGCAAAACAUAGCUUCGGUUAUGUCAAUGGCUAUUGGAUUGGUCCAUGAAGCGAAAAAUAGUUUACUGUGUCACUCGUACCGAUAACCGCAUCAGGUCUUCUAGGUAAGUAGCCUAUGGCCAUUGAGGCAUGAUAGUUCAGGGAAUUCGGCCAAUUAGAGCUGUAACUUCGGGAUAAAGCUUGGCUCUGAUGAAAAUCAGAACCGAUUGUUACGCGGAGAGCCCAACUGUUUAAUAAAAACGUAGUGUCGCGCUGUGGUAGUAUAGCCAGUGAACGCGACAUGAAUCCUGCUCAGUGCUGUGUCUGUUAAUAUGGUUCAAGCCAACGAAGCACCGGUAAAUAGCUGGGGUAACUAUGACUCUUAUCAAAGUAGCGAAAUACCUCGUCACUUAAUUAGUGACCUGCAUGAACGGAGCUAUGAGGUUCUCACUGUCCCAAACUGUCUCUCAGCGAACCAACUGUAGUGGGAACAGGUCACAUAGAUAUCCAGCGGGGAAAGAAGACCCUGUAGAGCUUCACUUUGGUCUAGUCUUGUAUAGUUCCUGCGGGGGUGUAGACUAGGUGGGAGAGCAAUCGAUUCUGAAAAACCACUACCCUGUUUGGAAUUAUGCUUACCUAUCACAAGGAAUAGGACUAGAUAGAAA
Molecule: non-coding RNA, 920 nt
Filed under: Trichomonas vaginalis G3
Lineage: Eukaryota; Parabasalia; Trichomonadida; Trichomonadidae
Description: Eukaryotic large subunit ribosomal RNA
Rfam family: Eukaryotic large subunit ribosomal RNA
Source: Rfam by way of RNAcentral